This is a long non-coding RNA of Oxyura jamaicensis (ruddy duck), 348 nucleotides long. RefSeq lists it as uncharacterized. NCBI's taxonomy places the organism in Eukaryota, Metazoa, Chordata, Aves, Anseriformes, Anatidae. The transcript is spliced from 3 exons. The record is from RefSeq and is a predicted model, not a curated record.
AGGUGUACCAGGCAGACAUUUUGGAAUGGUUAAGGACUGAUAUGUCAGAACAGUUGAUGCUAAAGUAAUGCUGCAGACAGCAUCAGAGGUCAUAUGCAUGUUUUUCUGCUCAGUCUGUGAAGGCAUUCACAAUUGUUUCUCUUGGAUGCAGAACUCAUCCCAGUUCUGCCUUUGUGACAGCCUGUGAGUCUGGAUCAAUGGAAGGGGAAAAGUAGUACAGCUCACACUGUAAUGAAAUGCAGGAAACAUCAAUAAAAACACCACUCACAGUUUUAAAGAAGGAUUUUGUAUAAAUGUGAGAAGGAUGUGUAGAAAAAGCUUGUUCCAAAAAGCAAAUAAUUAGUAAGA